Molecule: RNA transcript, 4500 nt
Organism: Trachymyrmex cornetzi
Lineage: Eukaryota; Metazoa; Arthropoda; Insecta; Hymenoptera; Formicidae
Gene: hh
Gene name: hedgehog signaling protein
Exons: 4
Source: RefSeq, a predicted model, not a curated record
AUAAUGCCGAUCAACGGUAUUUGGCUCGCAUAAUCGGUCCUCCGAUGUGCAAAUACCAAUCGCAUUUCUCGCAGAUAGAUCGAACGGUAACGAUGAUCAAUGAUCGUGCAACGUUUGUACAUCCGUAAUCGGUACGAUUCGUUUACGGAUUUUUCUCACGAUAUCUCGCGAAGGCGUCAAAGUGCUCGAAGAGAUAAUAAACAGCUUACGCCAAUCUACACGCGCAGUUAUCAAUUAACAAUAACGUAAAAAAGGAAAAUAAUUUACUCCGUCAAAUGAUAGUUGAAACGAUAGUUAAUUAUUAUUUAUGUACGUCCAUAUCAUAUAAUUUACGCGUAAUAUAAUAAUUGUCGAAAGCCAAGUGUUCAAAUGUCAGUCUUCGUGAAAAUUUCACAAAAUGUGAGAAGGAAUUGCGAACCGAACGCGAACCUACGCCGAAGUGAGCCACGAGUACUAAUAGUAGAAAAAGAAAUGGAAAAAAUCGAAUGAGCGAAGAAAAAGAAACUAAAGAAGAAGAAAAUAAAACGAAGAGUCCUACAGCGCUCCAAGUAUCCGUCAAGGUCAUUCUUGUAAGCCUCCCACGCAUCGCGUGUUGCUUUUAUCAUGGGGGUACUGAUUCGUCCUUUGGGGGUAGAAAACUAUUAGAAAUCUUCGCGAUGAAUCCUAUAUACGUAGUAUAAUGUUGGAAGGUUUUACAGAGUCGAGGGAAUGCGAUAGGCGCAAAGAAAGCGACGCACUCCGAUGAAGAGAAGAACGAAGUAACGAGGUAAGACGGCACGACGGAGAAGAAGUGUAGUCCAAUCGGCGAUAGAUGAGAAACGCCGAAGAAAGAAAGAUAGUCAAAGAAGAAACUGUUGGAUGGUGAAUAACGAAGAAACAGAGAGAUGAGAGAGAGAGAGAGAGAGAGAAAAGAAGAAUAAGUAGAAUGAGUAGAAGAGAAUGAGAGACCGAUCGUGUCUAGCCGAAGAAGAAAAGUGGAAGAUUAUCAUCUUUCUCUUCCUUUCUCUCGUUCUCUACCUUUUUCCCCUCUUUCUUUCUCACACUUUCUAACUCUUUCUCUCUCUUUUUCUUUCUCCCUCCCGUCACGUGCACCUGUCUUCGUUUACCUGGUGAAUGCCCCGCCCCGGCCAAUAGAGGUAGAGCGGGCCUCGUGACGUCAGUCACGCGUACCAGGAGGCCCUAGGUGGAGGGGCGAGAUCAUCCACCACCACCUUUGGAGGCCACGAAAGCCUCACGGGGACCAGCAGCUAGCAGCAGCCAGCGGCGGUGGUCUCGCCGGCCGUUUGCCGCGGGGUGGGGGCAGGAAGAGGGGUACUCCUGGACCUGGUCAGGCCAAAGAAACAACGCAGGAGUAUACCCACCGAAACCCAUCCUGCAUUUCCCACCACUGGCUCGUCCGGAAAACGUGCGCUAGCUUCCGGACGUCGUUCGUCCGAGUUCAGUCAAGUGAGUCGACUCGCACGUACCUCCUCUCCGACGAAAACGAUUGCAGAGGGUUCCACUCCGGAAAGGCGGGAGUGUGUUGGCUUGGCGCGUGCCGACGUGAAUUUAAAGGGCCCAGUACCGGUACCAGAGAGAGAGAACGUCGGUCAGUCGAGGAAAUUCGGCUUAGAAUUAAAUCUCCGUGAGAAUUCGACAGCACUUAGGAUGCAGAAAGAUCCCUUCUCGUAAAUUCUUCGAUUUGGUAUCACCAGUUGAUGAUAUCCCGGUGUGGUGACCGUAUGUCACCUCCUUACGGUAAUCAAAAGAGAAAAAAAGAGGAUCUUUUUUUUCGAUCCUCCGAGAGAUAGUAGCCUCGCCGUAGUUAAUUCGACGAUCCGUCGAUCGCUCGUGUUCCCCUGAGAUUCUCCCGGUGAACCAUCAUUUAGUUUUGAUCGGUCGCGCGCGGAGUUUAACAACGCAAUACGGGGAUCACAUCGGUGGUAAGAGUGCGUGCACGGGGGGUGUGUGAUGCCCUGGUUAUGGUUAAGCGUGAGUGAGGUCAGUGGCAAGAGGCGGAGAAGAAGAAUCGGUAGCAGAACGUCAAGCGGAUUGUCACCCUCGUCAUCGUUGCUGCUGCUGCCGCCGCCGCCGUCGUCAUCGUCGUUCUCCCAGCCGUUCUGGAGACGACGAGAGCAGUGACCGCGCAAGGUCGACCUCGAGGCAGAGGCACGCGAUUAUGGUGCACCAUUAUCAUCGUCGCCGCGGCCUCCAGGCGACCCACCACUAUGCCAUUGGGAGUCGCGUAGGCACUUCGCUCUUCCAGGUUCUUCUGUUGCUCCUCAGCCUCUGGCUGCCCGUGCUCGAUAACAGUGGCUUUGCUUUGGCGUGCGGACCCGGCAGAGGCGCCGGCCGACGGCCGAACCUGAGAAAGCUUACCCCUCUGGUCUUCAAACAGCAUGUGCCAAAUGUCAGCGAGAACACUUUACCGGCGAGCGGACUCAGUGAGGGACGGAUUACUAGAUAUGACCCCAGGUUCCGAGACCUGGUACCCAAUUAUAACACGGACAUCAUCUUUAAGGAUGAGGAAGGCUCCGGUGCCGAUCGUCUCAUGACACAGAGGUGCAAGGAGAAACUUAACACUUUGGCGAUCUCGGUGAUGAACCAGUGGCCCGGAGUGAAACUGCGAGUUGUCGAGGGUUGGGACGAGGAAGGCAUGCAUGCGACAGAUUCCCUGCACUACGAGGGACGUGCCGUCGACGUGACGACGAGCGAUCGCGAUCGCUCCAAGUACGGGAUGCUGGCGAGACUCGCUGUUGAGGCUGGUUUCGACUGGGUCUACUAUGAGUCCAGGUCGCACAUACAUUGCUCUGUCAAGUCUGAAUCAUCUUCAGCGGGCAAAUCUGGUGGUUGCUUUCCCGGGAGGAGUCUGGUCCGAACGGAGGACGGUAGUACGAAGAGGUUGGACGAUGUGCGUCUCGGCGACCGUAUCGCCGCUGUGGACUCCCGUGGCGACGUGGUGUACAGCGAGGUGAUCGCUUUCUUGGAUCGUUCUCCAUCCGAGAGGAGACAGUUCAUCCGAUUGACGACCAAGUCUGGCCGAGUGCUCACGUUAACGCCAGCGCACUUGGUGCCGGUGGAGGGUGGUUCGGUGUUUGCCGCCAACGUGCAACCCGGCGACAAGAUCCUCGUGAGCGACGCCGAUGCAGCGAGCACGGCGAACGAGGUGGAUAGUCAUUUGCGAUGGGACAGUGUCAACGAGACGAAAUUGGUCAUCGAGGAAGGAGUUUACGCUCCGCUUACGAUGGAGGGUAAUCUCCUCGUAGACGACGUCGUAGCAUCCUGCUAUGCCAUCGUCAACAGUCAGUCGCUAGCACAUUACUCCUUCCUACCGCUAAGGAUUUGGCACAGCGUGACAUCCUUUUUCCUGCAAAGGUUGGACGACGCAAGACACUUUGCGACAAGACAUAACGAUGUGUCCAGAACAGAGUUGACGACAAUGAGAGGAGAGCAAGAGGGCAUCCAUUGGUACGCAUCGAUGCUUUAUUCAUUGUCCUUCUACGUGUUGCCAUUUAAAAUGAUCUACAACUGAGGUUCGAUGGAAGCAAAAGAAUUCGUGCAAAAUGUAGAGCGGAUCCUCAAGGACAAAUUUAAGUGUUCAGUGCGAAAUUCACGUUCUAAAGACUUUGAAGCUAUGAAACUUAGGUGUUGAUUAAUCAUCGGGACGUCGCCUUGUCUCUCGAAACUUUUUUUUAUGGAUCGUCGUUGUGAAUUCCGGUUACACGAGUGUUGUUGAAGAUAGUUAAUAUCUGACCGUGGGGAUGGAGUCACCAUUCCGAGAGAAAUGCAUAUAUUUAAUACGUAGAACAAAAGACGUCGUCGUAGGCGAAAGACAUAAAGUUGGCCAGUGACCUACUAGUGUUCACCGAAUGACGUGUAGCAUAUAUUAGAUCUUUAGGACAAUAGAAAAAUAGAUGAAAAACAGAGCUUUAGGGAGAAUCGGGACUUUUCUCUUCCACGUUUUAAAUGUAUGUAUACAAUAUACUGACAUACAAAUAUUUCUUUUCUAUAUUUUUUAAUAUUCGCGAUUCGUGUGCAUCUCGUCCGAUAUACUUGUUUCUGAGAUAUCAAAGGAAAUUACCUUUGUGUCAUGGAAAAAGUGUGUAAGAUAAUUGCCGACUGUUCUAUUGUAAUGUUAUUCCAAAUAAUCUUCUGGAUGUACAUGCGAGCAACAAGAAAGCGUCUGUAUUUAAAUAUUCUAAAAGAUUAAUUUGUAUAUACCCCGCUUUUUUAUGUUUCCUUCUUGUUGUACGCAAUGAGAAGGGGAUGAGACCUGCUUCUUUUAACAUUGCUUGUAUCUCAUAAUUUAAUGUAUCCAAAACUGUAAUUAUGCGUCCGUUCAGUUGAGGUGCACUUUUUUUCUUUUGAAAAAAAAUUAGUAUAGAUUUGGACUUUCAAAAGUGCAAAUGAAAGAAAGUGCAAAAAAAUGCGACUAAAAAAAAUAAAUAGAUAUUGUCACCCUCGGUUGUGGCAGUAACUAUCGAGUACCGCUGUAUAAUAAUAUUAAGUCGCGUUGCUCUU